This 1760-nucleotide long non-coding RNA is filed under the name Coturnix japonica (Japanese quail). RNAcentral's name for it is "lncRNA (ENSCJPG00005005327.1)". Lineage: Eukaryota; Metazoa; Chordata; Aves; Galliformes; Phasianidae. The record is from RNAcentral.
GCAAAAUUAAUUGUGAUUUAUUCUGUGUCAGUCUAUUUAGAUUCUAUGGUUUCCUUCUACAAUUGUUCCUGCACAAGGAUCAGAUAUUGUCUGCAAGCUCGGAUGGCAUGUAAAACAGAUAUUAAUAAGUGUACAAGACUGAGUUUUAUCCUUAUGGCCCACAGUGUGGGAAGCUGUUGCACAUAUAUACAACAGAAUCUGUUUCCAAGCAAUUUCCAAGGGCCAGAAGAAACAAAUCAAGCCAACCAGGCAAGUACAUGUUUUCAAAUAUUAAACAGAACUGUAUCCAAAGGGAAAAACAGAAAUUAUUUACAAGAUAAAGGAGCUGCUUCUUUAUCCAAAUUUGUCCUCUGAAUGCAAAAUCUAAGGAUGUAUUAUGAAUGGGAUACAAUCCAAAAGGUUGGUUGCCUUUAGUAUGGAUGUAUUUGAUUUAACUGAGCAAGUCUGGAUCUGAGGAGCUGCAGUUACCAAGUGUUUACUAAGAAUUUUAUCUGACAUGAUGUAGCUAGUAUAGCUGAGCAAUGUGCUGCUGGAGAAACUGAGUACAGUCUUUAUCUCACCUAGCCAGAGAAAAUGGCUUUAGGAGGGACCCCGAUGAGUGCUCUGUCCUACCUCUACUGCCCUUCCUCCUUAACCAGUUUGUCCCACUUGCUCUUGACCAUGGUGUGAUGAGCUCUCCAGAGCCACCCUGUUCGCUCAUUUCUAGUGCUUCACUCUCUGCUACAGCAUUUUAUCUAUUGCCUGACAUUGUGUCAAUUUAAACCCAUUACUUUUUGUCUUAUUCGGGGUAAUGCAAUGAGCAGAGUACUUUGUAAGAAUUUCUUACAUGUCUGAAAACUGUUAGUCUGUUUCUUUUCUCUUUGGAAGAUGAUCCCUAAAAGUAACACAAAAAGAAAUAAUAACAGUCAUAUUAACUCUCAAAUCCUAUUCACUGACCCAUCUUUCCAAGUUACCUACUUUGUCUGUCCUGUGCCCUCACCAUGGGAUGGAGCAGCAAUCUGAAUUAAAGUACGGGUUCCUAUCUGAUUGCAUUUCCAGAAUAUAAAUGUCAUUUGCAGGGUGAGAAGAACCCCCACAAACCUGCCCAGAAGUUUCCCCCAGAGCUGCGUCCACCCUGGUAGAGCUUUUGCUUCUCUCCCAGUGGUUGCCUUGAGAACAGCAAGAUGUGAGUGCCACCUGGUGCUCGCACUGCUGCCUGGCAAGGAAACAAAUGCCAUAGGAGCUAAAGAGGAUUGAAACUUUCUGCAAAUCACCGUCAGGCUUCUGUUAACCCAUAAAAACAAUACAUGAUGAAUCUCACUGCUGUCGAGAAGUCCAAAGCCUCUGAAUUAUUAUUAUUUUUGUUAGUGGUAAGGGACGGCCUCUUCUUCAUCCAAGCUAUGAAAAGCUUUUCACUGAUAAGCAGUUUCCUACCUAUUUUGAAGUCGACGUGUUUAAGGCUAGAAACAAAGAAACUCUUUAAGAGUAAUCUCUGCCUCCCACUCUCUGAUGUCAGGGUCUUUUUUUAAGCGAAGUUGACCUGACACCAAUUAAGCAAGCAAACAGCUGAGGAAUAUGAGAAUUGUUCUGAAUGUUGUCAUCCAUCUCCGUACAGAAAACUUCUAAGAGGUUUGAUUGGGUAUGAUUGGGUCUGGAAAAUUACAGAAUGUGCAGGUUUUCCAGCUUCACCUGAGGGGUCAUGGAUGAGUCAAGUUUAAUACCUGGUAUUCAGGUUGCAGCUGCUAUUUCUAAAGGAGAAUAAAUUAGUGUUGCUAUUGACA